Molecule: non-coding RNA, 222 nt
Organism: Vicia faba (fava bean)
Lineage: Eukaryota; Viridiplantae; Streptophyta; Magnoliopsida; Fabales; Fabaceae
Source: the annotation of a GenBank genome assembly
AUGUUAUAUUUAGAGAUAAAAAUAUUUGUAAACUUUUUGUUGCAUCCUAGGUGCUUCUACUGCAGGUCUUCAAGCGUCCUCAUCUCUGUUUUAACCUCUGUACCCUCCCUGUCCCUUGAUCAGAAGCAAAAUGUGAUUCUUUUUUCACCUUUCAUUGAAUUUUGUUGGAUCUGCUGCCAUUCUGAGGUAUUAUUUCUCGAGUUUGCUUCCAUUUAUAUGUAA